GGGGCGGGGGUAGCUUGCUACCUGCCGGCGAGUGGCGAACGGGUGAGUAAUACAUCGGAACGUGCCCUGUAGUGGGGGAUAACUAGUCGAAAGACUAGCUAAUACCGCAUACGACCUGAGGGUGAAAGUGGGGGACCGCAAGGCCUCAUGCUAUAGGAGCGGCCGAUGUCUGAUUAGCUAGUUGGUGGGGUAAGGGCCCACCAAGGCGACGAUCAGUAGCUGGUCUGAGAGGACGAUCAGCCACACUGGGACUGAGACACGGCCCAGACUCCUACGGGAGGCAGCAGUGGGGAAUUUUGGACAAUGGGGGCAACCCUGAUCCAGCAAUGCCGCGUGUGUGAAGAAGGCCUUCGGGUUGUAAAGCACUUUUGUCCGGAAAGAAAUCGCACUGGUUAAUACCUGGUGUGGAUGACGGUACCGGAAGAAUAAGGACCGGCUAACUACGUGCCAGCAGCCGCGGUAAUACGUAGGGUCCAAGCGUUAAUCGGAAUUACUGGGCGUAAAGCGUGCGCAGGCGGUUGUGCAAGACCGAUGUGAAAUCCCCGGGCUUAACCUGGGAAUUGCAUUGGUGACUGCACGGCUAGAGUGUGUCAGAGGGAGGUAGAAUUCCACGUGUAGCAGUGAAAUGCGUAGAGAUGUGGAGGAAUACCGAUGGCGAAGGCAGCCUCCUGGGAUAACACUGACGCUCAUGCACGAAAGCGUGGGGAGCAAACAGGAUUAGAUACCCUGGUAGUCCACGCCCUAAACGAUGUCAACUAGUUGUUGGGGAUUCAUUUCCUUAGUAACGUAGCUAACGCGUGAAGUUGACCGCCUGGGGAGUACGGUCGCAAGAUUAAAACUCAAAGGAAUUGACGGGGACCCGCACAAGCGGUGGAUGAUGUGGAUUAAUUCGAUGCAACGCGAAAAACCUUACCUACCCUUGACAUGCCACUAACGAAGCAGAGAUGCAUUAGGUGCUCGAAAGAGAAAGUGGACACAGGUGCUGCAUGGCUGUCGUCAGCUCGUGUCGUGAGAUGUUGGGUUAAGUCCCGCAACGAGCGCAACCCUUGUCUCUAGUUGCUACGAAAGGGCACUCUAGAGAGACUGCCGGUGACAAACCGGAGGAAGGUGGGGAUGACGUCAAGUCCUCAUGGCCCUUAUGGGUAGGGCUUCACACGUCAUACAAUGGUGCAUACAGAGGGUUGCCAAGCCGCGAGGUGGAGCUAAUCCCAGAAAAUGCAUCGUAGUCCGGAUCGUAGUCUGCAACUCGACUACGUGAAGCUGGAAUCGCUAGUAAUCGCGGAUCAGCAUGCCGCGAUGGCCC
This 1303-nucleotide ribosomal RNA is filed under the name Ralstonia solanacearum. Its description in RNAcentral is "bacterial SSU rRNA". It matches the Rfam family "Bacterial small subunit ribosomal RNA", at positions 66 to 1368 of the family's 1533-position model. Lineage: Bacteria; Pseudomonadati; Pseudomonadota; Betaproteobacteria; Burkholderiales; Burkholderiaceae. The record is from RNAcentral.